RNAcentral lists this ribosomal RNA (594 nucleotides) under uncultured bacterium. Its description in RNAcentral is "bacterial SSU rRNA". It matches the Rfam family "Bacterial small subunit ribosomal RNA", at positions 338 to 944 of the family's 1533-position model. The record is from RNAcentral.
CCUACGGGAGGCAGCAGUAGGGAAUUUUCCGCAAUGGGCGAAAGCCUGACGGAGCAAUACCGCGUGAGGGAUGACGGCCUGUGGGUUGUAAACCUCUUUUCCCAAGGAAGAAGUUCUGACGGUACUUGAGGAAUAAGCAUCGGCUAACUCUGUGCCAGCAGCCGCGGUAAUACAGAGGAUGCAAGCGUUAUCCGGAAUCACUGGGCAUAAAGCGUCUGUAGGUUGUUUAGUAAGUCUGCUGUUAAAGACUGGGGCUUAACCCCAGAAAAGCAGUGGAAACUGCUAGACUCGAGUGUGGUAGAGGUAGAGGGAAUUCCUAGUGUAGCGGUGAAAUGCGUAGAUAUUAGGAAGAACACCAAUGGCGAAGGCACUCUACUGGGCCAUAACUGACACUGAGAGACGACAGCUAGGGGAGCAAACGGGAUUAGAUACCCCGGUAGUCCUAGCCGUAAACGAUGGAUACUAGAUGUUGCACGUAUUAACCCGUGCAGUAUCGUAGCUAAGGCGUUAAGUAUCCCGCCUGGGAAAGUCGCUCGCAAGAGAGAACACAANAGAUAGACGCGUGAGAGUGCGACGACGACGACGAGGGAGAGG